Rhopilema esculentum is the source of this 868-nucleotide non-coding RNA. NCBI's taxonomy places the organism in Eukaryota, Metazoa, Cnidaria, Scyphozoa, Rhizostomeae, Rhizostomatidae. The record is from RefSeq and is a predicted model, not a curated record.
UUGAGAUCAUGAUCAAGCCGCAGAUCAUGAAAAAUUGAAGAGCCUUUCAAAAGCAUUUAGAAAAGCAGAUACUGCCAGUACUGGGGAAGUCCAGAUAGGGAAGUUCAAAGGUAUUCUGGAAACACAUCGUGUCCAAAUGAAUGACGAUGAAUUUGCGCUAAUUGCGAGAAAGUUGACGUAAAUGACAAGGAAGGUAGGUCGAAUUCAUCGUUAUCAGAAUCAGGAUUUUCUGGCUGAAGCUUUGUUUUGCUCCAAAAGAGAGCUGCUUUCCAUUUGUAGCUCGGAAUGAGAAAUUUUGACUUAAUUUUAAUGAAUUUGUUAUUUUGAAACAGAAAAGCAGCACAAUAAAAGCAAACAGAUAUACAUCAUAAACUGCAACAAAGCUCCCGACUUGACACGUAUUUAAAUUGCUUGAUACAGUUAAAAUACGUUGAGGGUGUAUAUUUUCAAAGUGAUUCAAAGAAAGGAUGUAUUCGUUAACUCAGCUCUACUCUCCUUUUUACUCAACUCUUAAUUCCUCUGGAGUAGUAUCUAAAAAAGCUCUUGACAAGAAAGUUACGUGUUUUAUCCUGUAGACAACAUGUGCAAAUAAGUGAUCGGUCUAUCAAUUGGUGAAAAUAUUUAGCAAUUAGAUAAUGAAUGCAGAAAAAUGUCCCAUUUCUAGCUGAUUAAAUAUGUACCCCUAUAAGGCGAAAAUGUGUGUGACUAACAAUAAGUAAGUUUUAUGGAAACACAGCAGUAUUUUGGUUAUGACGGUAGCUUCUUGAGAUUGUUAACUGAAAUUCCAACAGUUUGAUUAAAUUAAAUAUUAAUUUAAAUCUGAUGUUUAUUCGAUUCACUUCUAUCUAGAAUUCAAUACAUGGACUUC